AUUCACCUUAAGAUCGUGCCAACAAGGGCCUAUCACAAAUUGGAGAUAAGGAUGGAGAAGAGAAACCUCUCUUAAUCAGAAUUACUCCUGGCAUGGAGGAGGAGCGGCUGGGAGUUGUAGCCGGAAGCCAGAGCACAUGUGUUGCAGCUGAAUCAAUCAGGAAGUGAUCGCGAUCGAUGGUGAUUAUCUACAGCAGGGGUCAGAGACUACAGCCACAGACCAAAUCCAGACUGCCACCUGUUUUUGAAAAAGAAGUUUUAUUGGAACAUAAACAUGGUCAUUCACUGAUGAAUAGCUCUAGUGGCUUUUACACUAAAACAGCAAAGUUGAUUAACUGCAGCCGAGAUCAUAUGGCCUGUAAAGCCAACAAGAUGUACUAUCUGGCCAUUUACAGUGAAAGAAAAAGGCAAAACUUUGCUGACCUCCCAUCUAUAAGAUCAUCUCUGAAAGGUACUACUUUAAGGCUCAGAAAAUUGAAGAAUUUUCUCAGCAUCACUAAAUAAAUUGGUGGUGACAUGGAGGGUAAAUGGGUCUCAGGGUAUUGCUGCAUAAUGUCUUAAGUAAAACAUAAGAAGAGGAAGGUAUCAACCAUCUCCUUGCUCCAAGCAAAACACCUCAAAACUCCCAAACAGAUGCAUAUCUGUACUGUUUCAGCAUAUCUCACUGGAUAUCUCUUUGAGUCUGGACGAAGAUUAUAUUUUUCCAUAGUUUUUUUUUUUUUUUAUGCUGGUACCAAAGGAAAAUACGCAGAGUUUCCAAAAGAGAGGGUGAAGUUUGAGAUGGCAACAACACUGCAAAAACAUGCCGGCAGAGCUCCAAACUCUCAUCAUGACAGCAGUAUCUAAUUAUUACACUAUACUUUGAGAAACCUGAUAUUAUGCAAACAAACUCCAGCUGCAUUUUAGGACAGCACAUACA
RNAcentral lists this long non-coding RNA (918 nucleotides) under Felis catus (domestic cat). RNAcentral describes it as "lncRNA (ENSFCAG00000043125.2)". Lineage: Eukaryota; Metazoa; Chordata; Mammalia; Carnivora; Felidae. The record is from RNAcentral.